This 403-nucleotide ribosomal RNA is filed under the name Fusobacteriota bacterium. RNAcentral's name for it is "Fusobacteria bacterium partial 16S ribosomal RNA". It matches the Rfam family "Bacterial small subunit ribosomal RNA", at positions 355 to 776 of the family's 1533-position model. Lineage: Bacteria; Fusobacteriati; Fusobacteriota. The record is from RNAcentral.
UGGGGAAUAUUGCACAAUGGAGGGAACUCUGAUGCAGCGACGCCGCGUGAACGAAGAAGGCUUUCGAGUCGUAAAGUUCUUUUAUAUGGGAAGAUAAUGACGGUACCAUAAGAAAAAGCCCCGGCUAACUACGUGCCAGCAGCCGCGGUAAUACGUAGGGGGCUAGCGUUGUCCGGAAUCACUGGGCGUAAAGGGUUCGCCGGCGGAAAUGCAAGUCAGGUGUAAAAGGCAGUAGCUUAACUACUGUAAGCAUUUGAAACUGCAUAUCUUGAGAAGAGUAGAGGUAAGUGGAAUUUUUAGUGUAGCGGUGAAAUGCGUAGAUAUUAAAAAGAAUACCGGUGGCGAAGGCGACUUACUGGGCUCAUUCUGACGCUGAGGAACGAAAGCGUGGGUAGCAAACAGG